Molecule: ribosomal RNA, 508 nt
Filed under: uncultured bacterium
Lineage: Bacteria
Description: bacterial SSU rRNA
Rfam family: Bacterial small subunit ribosomal RNA
Source: RNAcentral
GAGUUUGAUCCUGGCUCAGGACGAACGCUGGCGGCGUGCUUAACACAUGCAAGUCGAGCGAUGAAGCUCCUUCGGGAGUGGAUUAGCGGCGGACGGGUGAGUAACACGUGGGUAACCUGCCUCAUAGAGGGGAAUAGCCUUUCGAAAGGAGGAUUAAUACCGCAUAAGAUUGUAGUACCGCAUGGUACAGCAAUUAAAGGAGUAAUCCGCUAUGAGAUGGACCCGCGUCGCAUUAGCUAGUUGGUGAGGUAACAGCUCACCAAGGCGACGAUGCGUAGCCGACCUGAGAGGGUGAUCGGCCACAUUGGGACUGAGACACGGCCCAGACUCCUACGGGAGGCAGCAGUGGGGAAUAUUGCACAAUGGGGGAAACCCUGAUGCAGCAACGCCGCGUGAGUGAUGACGGUCUUCGGAUUGUAAAGCUCUGUCUUUAGGGACGAUAAUGACGGUACCUAAGGAGGAAGCCACGGCUAACUACGUGCCAGCAGCCGCGGUAAUACGUAGGUGG